Clostridia bacterium 41_269 is the source of this 265-nucleotide non-coding RNA. Lineage: Bacteria; Bacillati; Bacillota; Clostridia. The record is from Rfam.
CCGUGCUAGACGGGGAGGUAGCGGUGCCCUGUAACCUGCAAUCCGCUGCAGCAGGGUCGAAUUCCUGUCUGAGGGUCUGUCUUUUGGGGACAGCCCUGUGUAAGUGGCUAUGAGAGCUGGGUCCUGCGCAACGGGAGAUCACGAACCCCGUCAGGUCCGGAAGGAAGCAGCGGUAAGUGAUUGACCCCGUGUGCCGCAGGGGUGCCUGGUUUGAGUUAACUGCACAGACAGCGCCUGGAAGGCAGAUUCGAGGGCAGGUGCACGG